Long non-coding RNA from Megachile rotundata (alfalfa leafcutting bee), 375 nucleotides. Lineage: Eukaryota; Metazoa; Arthropoda; Insecta; Hymenoptera; Megachilidae. The record is from RefSeq and is a predicted model, not a curated record.
UUUAAACACACUUACCGCGAAAGAAACUUUGUUUCCGAACAAUCAAUAAACUGUAACAACGUAAAUGAUCAAGUAAUCGAAUUCGGAAAAAGAGUUAAAAGUAUUCCAUUGCAAACAUUUUUAGCGUGAUCUUUGGAAAAUCAAUUAAAGAAUUUAUUUAACAGAUUCAUGCUUCGUUGAUUGUAACACGAAAGCGUUGCCAAUUAAUUAACUACCGAGAGAAAUAGUUGUCUUGCACUUUCUAUUCGCAAACUUAUAUUGCAUGAUUUUCGGUUUCAUUCUUUUGCAUAUGAUUUCGCCGGAAAUCUGCUUUUGAAAUUUAUAAAAUAUUACAAUGUUAAGGAGAAAUUUUAUGCUUUUUUUAAUUUAGAUAUU